UCUAAGCACAUGCCUUAAUACGGUGAAGCCGCGAAUAGCUCAUUACAACAGCCACCGUUUACUAGAAUAUAGUUAUCGUACUUGGAUAACUGUGGCAAUUCUAGAGCUAAUACAUGCAAAAAAGCUCUGCCCGCAAGGAACGAGCGCAUUUAUUAGAAUAAAAACCAAUCGGGUUUCGGCCCGUAAUUUGGUGAAUCUGAAUAACUUUGCCAAUCGCACAGUCCUAGUACUGGCGAUGUAUCUUUCAAGUGUCUGCCUUAUCAACUUUCGAUGGUAGGUUAUACGCCUACCAUGGUAGUAACGGGUAACGGAGAAUAAGGGUUCGACUCCGGAGAGGGAGCCUGAGAAACGGCUACCACAUCCAAGGAAGGCAGCAGGCGCGCAAAUUACCCACUUCCAG
This 400-nucleotide ribosomal RNA is filed under the name unidentified nematode Sourhope farm. RNAcentral's name for it is "SSU rRNA". It matches the Rfam family "Eukaryotic small subunit ribosomal RNA", at positions 58 to 454 of the family's 1831-position model. The record is from RNAcentral. Lineage: Eukaryota; Metazoa; Nematoda.